This 311-nucleotide long non-coding RNA is filed under the name Ovis aries (sheep). RNAcentral's name for it is "lncRNA (ENSOARG00000025578.1)". The record is from RNAcentral. Lineage: Eukaryota; Metazoa; Chordata; Mammalia; Artiodactyla; Bovidae.
CGUUUCUUUUCUUUUUAUGGUAUCUUACAUGUAAGGAAGAAGGAAGACAAGUAUGUUACCAACGCUGAAACUGGCAGCAGAGAAGGUCUAGCCCUGUAUGGUCUUAAAAAGUAUCCCGCACAUGGCUAUUGAGCACCUACAAUUUUCAGAAAACUGAAACAUCUCUAUCUGGUCAUUUAUGCUGCCUGUGGAGCUCUAAUGACUACUUUGCUAAGAAACCUAGUGAGCUGGAGGUAGAAAAUAAUGACUAUCGGGCAGAAGAUGUCAAGCCGAAGGUCAGAGAUCGAAACUUGCAAGGCUUUAGCAUCUGA